AGUGAACGCUGGCGGUAGGCCUAACACAUGCAAGUCGAACGGCAGCACAGUAAGAGCUUGCUCUUACGGGUGGCGAGUGGCGGACGGGUGAGGAAUACAUCGGAAUCUACUUUUUCGUGGGGGGUAACGUAGGGAAACUUACGCUAAUACCGCAUACGACCUACGGGUGAAAGCAGGGGAUCUUCGGACCUUGCGCGAUUGAAUGAGCCGAUGUCGGAUUAGCUAGUUGGCGGGGUAAAGGCCCACCAAGGCGACGAUCCGUAGCUGGUCUGAGAGGAUGAUCAGCCACACUGGAACUGAGACACGGACCAGACUCCUACGGGAGGCAGCAGUGGGGAAUAUUGGACAAUGGGCGCAAGCCUGAUCCAGCCAUACCGCGUGGGUGAAGAAGGCCUUCGGGUUGUAAAGCCCUUUUGUUGGGAAAGAAAAGCAGCAGGUUAAUACCCCGCUGUUCUGACGGUACCCAAAGAAUAAGCACCGGCUAACUUCGUG
This 492-nucleotide ribosomal RNA is filed under the name uncultured bacterium. RNAcentral describes it as "partial 16S ribosomal RNA". It matches the Rfam family "Bacterial small subunit ribosomal RNA", at positions 29 to 507 of the family's 1533-position model. The record is from RNAcentral.